This is a long non-coding RNA of Dreissena polymorpha, 1736 nucleotides long. RefSeq lists it as uncharacterized. The record is from RefSeq and is a predicted model, not a curated record. The transcript is spliced from 3 exons. Lineage: Eukaryota; Metazoa; Mollusca; Bivalvia; Myida; Dreissenidae.
UUAGAAUUUCUCAAUGUUAGUGAAUUGAAGUACUGUCACUUGCUUUUGGACAGUCGAACAGAACAGACGUGGUUGCGAGAGCUCUCAUAUCUGUUGUGUUAAACUGUUUUUAUGAUAUGUUAUGUUUGUUUGUUUGUUUGUGAUGUACUAUUUUUCAGAUGCUGAUGGCAGUGAUGGGUUUUCAAGCUGACCUGAACAGAAAAGCACUCAUAUGGUAAGUACAAAAUAGUUGUUAUAUGGGAUGUUUUGUGCAUGCUUUUAUGUUUCAGGUGUACUUGCUGACAGCGACGAAGACGAAUCAAGAAGAGGAACAUUGUUGAGAAAGUGAUUGGGACUUGCAAACAGGGUAAGUGUAACACUUGUGUUUGUUUAAUUUGUAACAUGCGUGCUUUGCUCUGUUUCAGAUUUCACAUGCAGAAAUUAAACAGGAUUUCAACUGCUGAGACACAAUUCAUCAAAAGUAAGGUAAGUUUUAAUUCAUUGAUUUGAGUUGUACAAUGUGUUCUUUACUUUAUUUCAGAUUCGAGUCACUGGUUUACACAUGGAAGAAGAUUUCCACGUCUGUUACUCAACUCUACAGAAGCAAGGGAGCUGUGGUAAGUAUUGUAGUAUUAAUUUGUCUCAAUAAACGAUGAUGAAUGAAAACUGAUGUCGAUUCUUUUUGUACAGUUUUAGGUAUUAGCACUCUAUACAAAACUCUGUCGGUCGGUGUUUGUGAAUGUGAGCUUAAUGUUUGAGUAGAACAAAAAUGUCUUUACUUUUGUGAUCGCCAGUUGUCUGUGAUGUAAAGUGGAAAAAAACACAGCUAUGAAGCAUACAAUUGUUUCAAUAUUUUAUCAAUGAUAGUGUGCUAUGCAUGUUUUGAUUUAGUUCGUUUCAGAUACGACAUGACAUGAAGAGUUGACAGUCGAACAGAGCUGAGCAAAGCAGAAAGGUAAGUGUGUUUCAUUUUAGUAUGAACACUUGUAUUUUGUUUUUAUAUGGUAUGUUUUGUGCAUGCUAUGUUUCAGGUGUACUUGUAGUCAGCGACGAAGACGAUUCAAGAAGAGGAACAUUGCUGAGAAAGUGAAUGGGACUUGCAAACAGGAUUCAAGUUUCUGGUGUAGACAGAAAAAUGUGUUUGAAGAAGGAAUUCUACUACUGUGAUUCAACUCUACAGAAGCAAGGUAAGUAGAAACAAAAUUUUGGUUUAAUUUAACUCAUGUGUUUUGCACUGCAUGCUAUUUUUCAGGUCUCUCAUGCAGUGAGGGAAAAGAAGAAGAUUUAAAAAAAAAAAUCACUGCUGCAACUCAGGCCUAUAACAUGGUAAGCGUUUACUAUAUUGUAUACAAAAUAUUUUUCUGUUUUACUCUGUUUCAGGUUUCAAUUGUAGAGAUGUUGCAGAGAUGUUUUGACAGCUUGUGACAGAAAAGAAAUUCAGCAGCUGUGUAUCGACUGUAGCCACGAGGUAAGUCGAAACAAAUAUACUGGUUUGUAUGUUAUGUUGUUAUGCCCUUCUAUGUUUCAGACUUACAUUGCUGUGACUGUUCCACAGUGGGUCAAAAAAGAGACGAAUACAGGUUUCAAGAAGAAAAUUGGCUGUUGAAAACCUGCACAAAAUAUGAGGUAAGUAAACUAUUCUUUUGGUUUGUUUUGUGCUUUGUUAUGCUUAACUAUUUUUCAGAUUGGAAUGGUGGGUCGUUACAGAGCAGACUUUUGGACAACUGAGAAGUUGAGAAACAGAAAAUGAUUCAAGA